Molecule: ribosomal RNA, 458 nt
Filed under: uncultured bacterium
Lineage: Bacteria
Description: bacterial SSU rRNA
Rfam family: Bacterial small subunit ribosomal RNA
Source: RNAcentral
UACGGGAGGCAGCAGUGGGGAAUAUUGCACAAUGGGCGAAAGCCUGAUGCAGCUAUGCCGCGUGUAUGAAGAAGGCCUUAGGGUUGUAAAGUACUUUCAUCGGGGAGGAAAAAAACAAAACUAAUAAUUUUAUUUCUUGACGUUACCCGAAAAAGAAGCACCGGCUAACUCCGUGCCAGCAGCCGCGGUAAUACGGAGGGUGCUAGCGUUAAUCAGAAUUACUGGGCGUAAAGAGCACGUAGGUGGUUUUUUUAAAGUCAGAUGUGAAAUCCCUGGGCUUAACCUAGGAACUGCAUUUUGAAACUGAAAUACUAGAGUAUCGUAGAGGGAGGUAGAAUUCUAGGUGUAGCGGUGAAAUGCGUAGAUAUCUGGAGGAAUACCUGUGGCGAAAGCGGCCUCCUAAACGAAUACUGACACUGAGGUGCGAAAGCGUGGGGAGCAAACAGGGAUUAGAUACC